Molecule: long non-coding RNA, 287 nt
Organism: Zophobas morio
Lineage: Eukaryota; Metazoa; Arthropoda; Insecta; Coleoptera; Tenebrionidae
Exons: 3
Source: RefSeq, a predicted model, not a curated record
AACUACAACUUCUUAUAAGCAAAUUGCUUGCCAAAGAAAAAACACAAUUAACGUUUUUGACUCAUUAUUAUACCUUCCUCCAUUGAUCUCAGGUACAGCUUUUGCUUGACCAGCUUACCGCAACCUUUACUUAAGCUGUAACGGUCGGCUUUCUGCUCUGUAACUUUUUGUGCUUGCGAGGCUCACCGGGGGCGCCCUGUAGUAUAUCAUUAAGGGUAAAUAGAAUGUCUUCAAGAUAGCAUUUUAGAAAAUAUUACUUUUUAAGUUUUUGGGGGAAUAUCCUUUAA